RNAcentral lists this ribosomal RNA (585 nucleotides) under uncultured bacterium. Its description in RNAcentral is "partial 16S ribosomal RNA". It matches the Rfam family "Bacterial small subunit ribosomal RNA", at positions 355 to 1375 of the family's 1533-position model. The record is from RNAcentral.
UGGGGAAUUUUGGACAAUGGGCGAAAGCCUGAUCCAGCAAUGCCGCGUGUGUGAAGAAGGCCUUCGGGUUGUAAAGCACUUUUGUCCGGAAAGAAAUCCUUGGCUCUAAUACAGUCGGGGGAUGACGGUACCGGAAGAAUAAGCACCGGCUAACUACGUGCCAGCAGCCGCGGUAAUACGUAGGGUGCAAGCGUUAAUCGGAAUUACUGGGCGUAAAGCGUGCGCAGGCGGUUUGCUAAGACCGAUGUGAAAUCCCCGGGCUCAACCUGGGAACUGCAUUGGUGACUGGCAGGCUAGAGUAUGGCAGAGGGGGGUAGAAUUCCACGUGUAGCAGUGAAAUGCGUAGAGAUGUGGGGGAAUACCGAUGGCGAAGGCAGCCCCCUGGGCCAAUACUGACGCUCAUGCACGAAAGCGUGGGGAGCAAACAGGAUUAGAUACCCUGGUAGUCCACGCCCUAAACGAUGUCAACUAGUUGUUGGGGAUUCAUUUCCUUAGUAACGUAGCUAACGCGUGAAGUUGACCGCCUGGGGAGUACGGUCGCAAGAUUAAAACUCAAAGGAAUUGACGGGGUCAUAGCUGUUUCCU